AUGGCUGUCGUCAGCUCGUGUCGUGAGAUGUUGGGUUAAGUCCCGCAACGAGCGCAACCCUCAUUUUUAGUUGCCAUCAGGUUAAGCUGGGCACUCUAAAAAAACUGCCAGUGAUAAGCUGGAGGAAGGCGGGGAUGACGUCAAGUCCUCAUGGCCCUUAUGGUCUGGGCUACACACGUGCUACAAUGGUGGUGACAGUGGGAAGCAAUUUCGCAAGAAAUAGCAAAUCUCCAAAAGCCAUCUCAGUUCAGAUUGGACUCUGCAACUCGAGUCCAUGAAGUUGGAAUCGCUAGUAAUCGUAGAUCAGCAUGCUACGGUGAAUACGUUCUCGGGCCUUGUACACACCGCCCGUCACGCCAUGGAAGUUGGUUUUACCUUAAGCCGGUGCGCUAACCGCAAGGAAGCAGCCGUUCACGGUAGGGUCAGCAACUGGGGCGAAGUCGUAACAAGGUAGCCGUAGGGGAACCUGCGGCUGGAUUACCUCCUUUCUAAGGAUGAUUAAGGAAUUUUUCUUAAUCUAAAUAUUUAACAGGUUAAUGUUGACCGUCCUCAUUUCUCUUCUUAAUAUAGUGUUUCUCUUUUCUGCAUAAGGGCCGGUAGCUCAGUUGGUUAGAGCGCACCCCUGAUAAGGGUGAGGUCGGAAGUUCGAAUCUUCCUCGGCCCACCAUAACUUAACUGGGGGAUUAGCUCAGCUGGGAGAGCGCCUGAUUUGCAUUCAGGAGGUCAGCGGUUCGAUCCCGCUAUCCUCCACCACGAAACACUUAGAUCUUUAAAAUUGUAAAUAUAAUUAUUAUCAAUAUCUAUAUCCGAACAUUAGUUGAUUAGUUUAAUUAAUGUUCAAAUAAAAAAUUUGAUUCAAAACACAGAAAUUUUUUCUGUGCAUAAAUCAAGCGUUUAAGGGCGUGUGGCGGAUGCCUUGGCACUGAAAGACGAUGAAGGACGUGGUAUACUGCGAUAAGUUUCGGGGAGCUGUAUACAAGCUUUGAUCCGAAAAUUUCCGAAUGGGGAAACCCGG
This 1015-nucleotide small RNA is filed under the name uncultured bacterium. Its description in RNAcentral is "bacterial SSU rRNA". The stretch from base 1 to 488 matches the Rfam family "Bacterial small subunit ribosomal RNA", at positions 1045 to 1533 of the family's 1533-position model. The record is from RNAcentral.